GAUCAUGGCUCAGGAUGAACGCUAGCGGCAGGCUUAACACAUGCAAGUCGGAGGGGCAGCAUAAUGGAUAGCAAUAUCUAUGGUGGCGACCGGCGCACGGGUGCGUAACGCGUAUGCAACCUACCUUUAACGAGGGGGAUAACACUGAGAAAUUGGUACUAACUACCCCAUAACAUCAUGAAAGGCAUCUUUUAUGGUUAGAAAAUUCCGAUGGUUAGAGAUGGGCAUGCGUUU
RNAcentral lists this ribosomal RNA (234 nucleotides) under uncultured bacterium. RNAcentral's name for it is "partial 16S ribosomal RNA". It matches the Rfam family "Bacterial small subunit ribosomal RNA", at positions 15 to 238 of the family's 1533-position model. The record is from RNAcentral.